AUGGCCGACCGCCUCUUGCCGCCUCCUCGGGUCGCCGCAUCGCCUCCUCGGGUCGCCGUCGCCUCCUCUAAUCCUCUUGCUCGGGUCGCUGUCGCCUCCUCUUGCUCCAACUCGAUGUCGGCGUCAGCUUCAGCGGCGGCGAACCAGCAGCCAGGCGGUGUUGUGUCAAGCACAGCAUCAACAGCUACACAGGGAGAAGGAGCACAUGUUGUUCCUAGAUCAAAAGAUCCAGCAUGGAAAUAUUGCACAUGUCCGGACAUUAGCAAGAAGAACUGUCUAAAAUGCAUAUUCUGCGGUCAUUUGUCCAGCAAUGGCACUAGUCGAAUCAAAUUGCACCUUGCAUGCAUUCCUAAGUCUGGUGUGGAUCACUGUGAGAAAGUGCCAGCUGAUGUCAAAGAGGAGAUCCUUCAGUACUUGACAAAGAAGGGUGACAAAAAGGCAGCCAAGCUUAUGGAGCAGAAGAGACGCAGAAAUGGAGUUGACUUGAGCCACUCGAAGGGGGAAGAACAAGCUACAAGUGAUGAAGAUGGCCUAAACCAUUCUGCACUUGUGCUUCAGCCAUCGAGAUCAACAAGAAAUAAAUCUAAAUCUUCAAGUGGCCCUAUGGACAAAUACUGUGAAUUAACUCCCGAAGAGCUUGUUGCCGCAAGGAAGAGGAAUCGUGGUGCUGACACGAUCCAGGGGAAGCUAAAACUGAGAAGAGAGAACAAAAAAGGGCUCGUGCUUUAUGGUGAGGACUUGGAUGGUCCUACUCCUUAUGAAAUGGGUGGCCCAAUAUUGAAUAAGAGAAAGAAAAGAGUUCAGGAGUCCUUCAAUGCACACAGGAAGACUUGGGAGCUUACUGGAUGUACAAUCAUGACAGAUGCAUGGACUGACAUAAGAGGAAGAGGGGUAAUGAAUCUUGUAGUUCAUAGUGCUCAUGGUGUGGUGUUUCUUAAUUCUGUGGACUGUUCAACCAUGAAGAAAGAUGGGAAGUACAUCUUCGAGCUUGUUGAUAGAUGCAUAAAAGAGGUUGAACAUGCUGUCAACUUCUUUGAGCCUUUGGCUAAUUUGCUGCGGCGAAUGGACAGCGAUGUACCAGCUAUGGGUUUCAUAUACGGCGCUUUUUUGGAUGCAAAGAAGGAGAUUGUAGCUAGAUUUGACAAUGAGGAGGCUAGUAUCCAGGAAGUGCUACACAUUAUUGAUAAGAGAUGGGACAACAAAUUGAUGGGGCCCCUGCAUAGGGCUGGAUACUUCUUAAACCCAUACUACUACUAUGAAAACAAGCUGGAGAUUGAGUUGGAUGGAACAUUUAAAGAUGGCCUUGUUGCUUGCAUGGAGAAGAUGGUUAGAGAUGGUAAGAAGGAAGAUAUAAUGACAACUGAGUGUCAGGCAUAUCAAAAUGAAGAGGGGUCGUUUGGAAGGGACAGUGCUAAAAGGCAGCGGAGAAACAAGAACUUUGAUCCAGCUGAAUGGUGGUCUAAUCAUGGAUCAAGUGCACCAAAUCUCAGGGUUCAUGGCAGCAAAAGGCGCAACAGGCUACUUCAUGACAAAAUGAAAGAUCUUGUCUUCAUCAAGGCCAACUCCCAACUUGAACAAAAGAGAAUGAACAAAGACAGGGAUCCACUUGUGGACAGAACACAUGCAGAUGUUGUGGAAGAUGAAGAUAAUGAGUGGAUCACAGGAAUUGUGCCGGUUCCAGUUGUGGAUACUGCAGAUGAACCUGAAGAAGAACCAAUACCACAACCGAGAGCAAGAGCUGCUGCAUCAAAAAGAAAUAAAGCUCGUCAGCCUAGGAAGAAGUUGCUCCCAGUUUUUCGUGAUGAUUAG
RNAcentral lists this ribosomal RNA (1809 nucleotides) under Triticum aestivum (bread wheat). RNAcentral describes it as "partial small subunit ribosomal RNA". Lineage: Eukaryota; Viridiplantae; Streptophyta; Magnoliopsida; Poales; Poaceae. The record is from RNAcentral.